RNAcentral lists this ribosomal RNA (497 nucleotides) under uncultured bacterium. Its description in RNAcentral is "partial 16S ribosomal RNA". It matches the Rfam family "Bacterial small subunit ribosomal RNA", at positions 28 to 507 of the family's 1533-position model. The record is from RNAcentral.
GAUGAACGCUGGCGGCGUGCCUAAUACAUGCAAGUCGAGCGAACAGACGAGGAGCUUGCUCCCCUGACGUUAGCGGCGGACGGGUGAGUAACACGUGGAUAACCUACCUAUAAGACUGGGAUAACUUCGGGAAACCGGAGCUAAUACCGGAUAAUAUAUUGAACCGCAUGGUUCAAUAGUGAAAGACGGUUUUGCUGUCACUUAUAGAUGGAUCCGCGCCGCAUUAGCUAGUUGGUAAGGUAACGGCUUACCAAGGCUACGAUGCGUACCCGACCUGAGCGGGUGGUCGGCCACACGGGAACUGAGACACGGUCCAGACUCCUACAGGAGGCAGCAGUAGGGAAUCUUCCGCAAUGGGCGAAAGCGUGACGGAGCAACGCCGCGUGAGUGAUGAAGGUCUUCGGAUCGUAAAACUCUGUUAUUAGGGAAGAAGAAAUGUGUAAGUAACUAUGCACGUCUUGACGGUACCGAAUCAGAAAGCCACGGCUAACUACGUG